AGUCGAGGGGUACAUUGGUGCUUGCACCAGAUGACGACCGGCGCACGGGUGCGUAACGCGUAUAGAACCUACCUUUUACAGGGGAGUAGCCUUUAGAAAUGAAGAUUAAUGCCCCAUAGUAUUACGACUUGGCAUCAAGUUGUAUUUAAAGAUUUAUCGGUAAAAGAUGGCUAUGCGUCCUAUUAGUUAGUUGGUAAGGUAACGGCUUACCAAGACAUCGAUAGGUAGGGGUCCUGAGAGGGAGAUCCCCCACACUGGUACUGAGACACGGACCAGACUCCUACGGGAGGCAGCAGUGAGGAAUAUUGGACAAUGGAGGCAACUCUGAUCCAGCCAUGCCGCGUGCAGGAAGACGGCCCUAUGGGUUGUAAACUGCUUUUAUACAGGAAGAAACAUCCCGACGUGUCGGGACUUGACGGUACUGUAAGAAUAAGGACCGGCUAACUCCGUGCCAGCAGCCGCGGUAAUACGGAGGGUCCGAGCGUUAUCCGGAAUCAUUGGGUUUAAAGGGUCCGCAGGCGGUCAAUUAAGUCAGAGGUGAAAUCCCAUAGCUUAACUAUGGAACUGCCUUUGAUACUGGUUGACUUGAGUCAUAUGGAAGUAGAUAGAAUGUGUAGUGUAGCGGUGAAAUGCAUAGAUAUUACACAGAAUACCGAUUGCGAAGGCAGUCUACUACGUAUGUACUGACGCUCAUGGACGAAAGCGUGGGGAGCGAACAGGAUUAGAUACCCUGGUAGUCCACGCCGUANACGAUGGAUACUAGUUGUUGGGAUUUAUCUCAGUGACUAAGCGAAAGUGAUAAGUAUCCCACCUGGGGAGUACGGUCGCAAGA
RNAcentral lists this ribosomal RNA (832 nucleotides) under uncultured Bacteroidota bacterium. Its description in RNAcentral is "bacterial SSU rRNA". It matches the Rfam family "Bacterial small subunit ribosomal RNA", at positions 60 to 893 of the family's 1533-position model. The record is from RNAcentral. Lineage: Bacteria; Pseudomonadati; Bacteroidota.